UACGUAGGUGGCAAGCGUUGUCCGGAAUUAUUGGGCGUAAAGCGCGCGCAGGCGGUCCUUUAAGUCUGAUGUGAAAGCCCACGGCUCAACCGUGGAGGAUCAUUGGAAACUGGGGGACUUGAGUACAGAAGAGAAGAGUGGAAUUCCACGUGUAGCGGUGAAAUGCGUAGAGAUGUGGAGGAACACCAGUGGCGAAGGCGACUCUUUGGUCUGUAACUGACGCUGGAGGC
Molecule: ribosomal RNA, 230 nt
Filed under: uncultured bacterium
Lineage: Bacteria
Description: partial 16S ribosomal RNA
Rfam family: Bacterial small subunit ribosomal RNA
Source: RNAcentral